GUCGACCACUGCUCUUCCACUUGCAGUCUUCCAUCGCCCUCGCCCCUCGCCCAGGCACAGCCGCACAGCAAGCAUAGCCGCCACCGCCAGUCGCCACUGCUCAGCUGGCGUGCCCCCAAAUUCUGUGACGGCGUGACUCAUCUUCCUCCUCUCCUCUCUGCUAGGUUGCACGUGCAGACCACGAACGGAUGCACUGCCCCCAAGGCCCCAAUCCAAUGAUCCUGGUGGGCGUGGCUCUAAGAAGAGCAGCACCGCGACGUAAGGGAGCUAGAAUUUGUGGCUGACACUUGAAUGGAUUGUCCCUCUCUGAGGUUACUGGACCCCAAACCAGACUCCUCCGAAGACAGGGGCUUCUUGCUGAUUAUCCAGUAGAUCUCGGCUACAACAGUGUGGAAGGCCUUCUCCACAGUUCAGAAUAUGCUUUUAGUGAGGGUGGUCGUGUACUUGUGUUUUUGUGAUAUUUAUAAACUUUGUUGUAUUGUGAUAUUUUCAUAUUGAGAUAUUUUCAUAUUGAUAUGGUUACAGAUCUAUAUAGCCAGUUCGUAGCCACCAUGAAUCAGCUCGGUGGCCCCCAGGUUGCCACGCCAAAGAAAAUUAGGGAGCUGAUGAAGGUGAACGGCCUGAUAAACGACGAAGUGAAAAGCCAUCUUCAGGUUCGACAUGCCCCAUGCCUACUAUCACUCUCGAUUUGAAGAAGAGUCUCAAGAUUCUGCAGGUGAGCUAUGUAAUUGACCCAAAAGACACUUCAAGCGGGCAGGAAAGUCUAAGGCCCUUACUAAGUACUUCCAAGUAAGUAGAGCAAUCACCAUCACACGGAUUUAUUCAAGAUUUUUUUGUGUUAAGCCAAUUGUUCGUUUUCAUGUAAUUGUUGUCCACUAAUAUUUUAUUGAAUAAUUUGUGUGCCGUCGCAACGCACGGUCAUUGUACUAGUAGAAUUGAAUGCUCCAUUUGUAGUUUCUGUGAUAUUACAGUAGUGCAGUCUAAAAUACUGAAACAUUGUACACUGUAAUACCCUGAAAGGCUGGGUCAAUCAAUUUUGACUCCUCUUUACUUGGGCAUGUGUUUAUUCAAAAAUUCUUAGUAGCUGCGGUCUGAUUUGGACUCUAUAUUCAUGAUUUGACUUACAAAUCUUUGUGCACAUAAGUGUGAAUUGGUUUCUCCACACACAUAUAGUGACACAAAGGUGUGGAGCAAGAAAGAGGGUUAUUGCCCCAUUUUAGGUGACCAAUAUGUUUCCCUAAUCAAAAUGCGAUCAGUAUAUGGCUGAUGCUUACAUGAUGUCAGUUGCAUGGCCGUACAAGAAAGUAAGUCUAUAUCUUAUCUUGUUUAUGUUUAGAUUUAUAUGAGCCAUCAACUUAAUGAUGAUUAACCUUGAUUGCACCAGCUGAAUUUGGUGCAUAAGGCUGCAACACCGUCUAGUGGAGGGUGUUCUGGACAAAGAAAGCUUGUACCUUAAAACAGGAGGAUACAAGAAGCUGGAGUGGUUGUCUGAAGGCUUUUGAACUGCUUGAAGCAUUAGUGUAGCUUUGGUGCUUUUGUGACUGAUCAGCUCUGGAGCAGCUAGAGUGAUGUAGUUGUGGGCUUUUGAACAAUAGCUGGAGUGAUAUGAAACAUUAGUGAUGUAGUUGUGGGCUUUUGAACUGCUUCAAGCUGGAGUGAUGUCGUUGUGGUGCUUUUGUGACUGAUCAUCUCUGGAGCUUUUGUGAAUGAUCUAGCUAGCUAUUUGUAAAUGAUCUAGUUAUGAAUGAUAUUAUAAUUAUGAUGCUUUUG
Molecule: long non-coding RNA, 1770 nt
Organism: Zea mays
Lineage: Eukaryota; Viridiplantae; Streptophyta; Magnoliopsida; Poales; Poaceae
Exons: 6
Source: RefSeq, a predicted model, not a curated record